UACGGAGGGUGCGAGCGUUGUCCGGAAUCACUGGGUUUAAAGGGUGCGUAGGUGGCGCGUUAAGUCCGUUGUGAAAUCCCUGGGCUCAACCCAGGAAAUGCUUCGGAUACUGGCGUGCUUGAGGCUAGUAGGGGUCACUGGAACUGACGGUGGAGCGGUGAAAUGCGUAGAUAUCGUCAGGAACGCCAAUGGCGAAGACAGGUGACUGGGCUAGAUCUGACACUGAGGCACGAAAGCGUGGGGAGCGAACGGG
RNAcentral lists this ribosomal RNA (253 nucleotides) under uncultured bacterium. RNAcentral describes it as "partial 16S ribosomal RNA". It matches the Rfam family "Bacterial small subunit ribosomal RNA", at positions 524 to 776 of the family's 1533-position model. The record is from RNAcentral.